UUAUAAUGUUAAAGAUGUCUUCCAAGUGAUAUCUUGGUCGAUGGUAACGCAUAUCUGUGCUCCUAUGGCAUGGAAGCCUACACUACAUUUUGAAUGUCCCCCUCCUCCCCCGCCUCCACCCGUCAGAGGGACUAGGAGGGGAAAGAAAGUCGUUACUCCGCCAGUAAUUCAAGUUAAAGUCUUAAACCAUCAGGAAAAUGGACCUUCUAUUGGCUCAAAUACUGUUAAUUGGGUUAGUCCUCAGUUUGAAGGAGUUGAUGAUAAAUUUGUUAAAAGAAAGAAAACCAGAACUCGCUCCACCCUCCCUCCUCGGGCACUCUUCAAACAACCGACCAAUAGCGAGGACAGUUGUCAUGGUAAUCCUAAACAACAAGCAGUUCUUGAAUUUGUAACAGUCCCUCGUCAAUUACCCAAAGCCACACCCACAAGUGACCCGCCCAUUGAUGAAAAUGUUGACAUUAUUAAUACCAAGAGUGGAUAAGGAGGAGGGGAGAGUGUCUAACUGCCCUAUGCUGCUAGUGAUAUGUGCGCGUAGAAGUCUUUCACAGUUUGUUUAGCACCUUCUUUGACCUGUUUAAACAUCAACAGCCAUGAUAGUAAAUGGGUGUGUUUUUAAUAACCUAUAUGGUGCACCCACCCACACGUGUAGUCACGAUUUUUCAAGAGGAAGAGUCAGAACUACAGCACAAUCCAGAUGAUCAUGACUGUUACAACAGAUUGAGAGCAUCUAAUCUUGAUGAGCGCCAUGCCACUACACCUAAGUGCCCUAAAGCAUCAAGAAAGAGGACAUGGAGUCAAGAGUCAGAAGCCUCUGUUCCAGUGAACUCAGAUCUGUAAUACUUCAUUUUUAAGAUCAACAGCAGUUAACAGCCCGUCUCAAAAGUACAUGUACCACAUAUUCUUUCACUUCUAUUAUUAUCCUUACUCUUGAUGUGGGUCCCAAGGGACCAGACUAAAGGAGGAUGAUCAUUGAUCAAGAGCUUUUCAUGUGUCAAUAACAAACAUGGUUUGUGUGCUUGGAAACUACAAAUCUCUUCAGAGUGGUACAAAGUGACUGGUACAACAAGGUGAGGUCAAAUUCUGCUUCCAAGGUCUCUGUAUGGUCUCUUGCUGCUCAGUUCAGCAGCCAUUUUUAUAUUACAGUUAACUUAAGUACACGCCCAACUAUGGCUUCAGUGCAGUGCAGUUAUCACUUAUUGUGCUAAAUAAGGGUAUUGUGUAUAAGCCGUUACAGUUUUCAAUGGAUUCUGGUAGUUAUGAAGAAGAGAGGAAGCAACUACUCCAGUCAUCAUAGAAAUAGCAACAAGAAGCAGAACACACUAUAGACUAAUGUUAUAAAGUAUUGUAUACCAUUUCAUUGUAUUAUAGUUUUAAAUGAAUAAAAUAAUUAAGAAA
RNA transcript from Amphimedon queenslandica, 1395 nucleotides. RefSeq lists it as uncharacterized. The transcript has 3 exons. The record is from RefSeq and is a predicted model, not a curated record. Lineage: Eukaryota; Metazoa; Porifera; Demospongiae; Haplosclerida; Niphatidae.